This 497-nucleotide ribosomal RNA is filed under the name uncultured bacterium. Its description in RNAcentral is "partial 16S ribosomal RNA". It matches the Rfam family "Bacterial small subunit ribosomal RNA", at positions 28 to 507 of the family's 1533-position model. The record is from RNAcentral.
GACGAACGCUGGCGGCGUGCCUAAUACAUGCAAGUAGAACGCUGAAGAGAGGAGCUUGCUCUUCUUGGAUGAGUUGCGAACGGGUGAGUAACGCGUAGGUAACCUGCCUUGUAGCGGGGGAUAACUAUUGGAAACGAUAGCUAAUACCGCAUAACAAUGGAUGACACAUGUCAUUUAUUUGAAAGGGGCAAUUGCUCCACUACAAGAUGGACCUGCGUUGUAUUAGCUAGUAGGUGAGGUAAUGGCUCACCUAGGCGACGAUACAUAGCCGACCUGAGAGGGUGAUCGGCCACACUGGGACUGAGACACGGCCCAGACUCCUACGGGAGGCAGCAGUAGGGAAUCUUCGGCAAUGGGGGCAACCCUGACCGAGCAACGCCGCGUGAGUGAAGAAGGGUUUCGGAGCGUAAAGCUCUGUUGUAAGUCAAGAACGGGUGUGAGAGUGGAAAGUUCACACUGUGACGGUAGCUGACCAGAAAGGGACGGCUAACUACGUG